GCUAUGAAUCUGAGAAGGUGUGUGAAGAGCAAGAUGGAGAAGCAGGGCACGUGCUGUACUGACUCAACCCAAAAUGCUCAUGUAAAUCACAAAAUAAGAUGCCUUUUUGAGUUGGUUCUUCAUGUGCCCCUCUUCCCCAUCUUGACCUCUGCACCUUAAUCACUUAGGCUUCUGCUUCUGCUUCAGCUUCAGAGAGAAGUUUCCACACCCUUAUCAAGAAUGUUUCGUUCCCUUCUCCAACCGAUGUGAAAUCUCACAUCCUAUGACUUAGGUUAGGUGAGUUUGAGAUGAGUUCUGUCGUUUGUGUGAGUUUAAAAUGAUUUUCUCCCGUUAGAGGGUUUGUUUCAAUUGUGUUGAAAUUCUUUUUAGAUUGUUCACUUCAUAAACAAGUGCAGGAUUGGGGAAAUAUUAUUGGAGAUCACUAUAAUGAAAUAUAAAAAAGCUCCCUAUUCGAAACUAU
This is a long non-coding RNA of Cucurbita pepo subsp. pepo (vegetable marrow), 460 nucleotides long. RefSeq lists it as uncharacterized. The record is from RefSeq and is a predicted model, not a curated record. Lineage: Eukaryota; Viridiplantae; Streptophyta; Magnoliopsida; Cucurbitales; Cucurbitaceae.